This is a long non-coding RNA of Pangasianodon hypophthalmus (striped catfish), 378 nucleotides long. RefSeq lists it as uncharacterized. The record is from RefSeq and is a predicted model, not a curated record. Lineage: Eukaryota; Metazoa; Chordata; Actinopteri; Siluriformes; Pangasiidae. The transcript is spliced from 3 exons.
AGCGGGAUGCCACACACCGUCCAUCCCAGGAAGAGAUUUCCGGUAAGCCUGUGAGCGGUAGGACAAAACGCCAACUGAUACGUGUGCCCUCAACUCGGGAGCCAUGGUACAGAGAGCACCUUCAGACUUAUAGAGAGCACCAUCACACACACAUACACACAUAUACUUGCAGUUGCAACAUAAUAUAAUUCUUAACAGACAAUUCACACAUGCACACACACACACACACACAAUAUUGACUUUAAAUAAAAUUCCAGUAAAGAAAUUUUGGUCUCAGUGUGUUUAUUUAAAAGUUUUCAGCACCGAAAGAUGUUCCAAGAGUUUCCAUCAAAUCAAAAAAGGGAUCGCACAGCCAAAGAUACAUCCAGAUGUUCAUAG